RNAcentral lists this ribosomal RNA (163 nucleotides) under Fingerhuthia africana. RNAcentral describes it as "5.8S ribosomal RNA". It matches the Rfam family "5.8S ribosomal RNA". From Rfam's summary of the family: 5.8S ribosomal RNA (5.8S rRNA) is a component of the large subunit of the eukaryotic ribosome. The record is from RNAcentral. Lineage: Eukaryota; Viridiplantae; Streptophyta; Magnoliopsida; Poales; Poaceae.
CACACGACUCUCGGCAACGGAUAUCUCGGCUCUCGCAUCGAUGAAGAAGGUAGCAAAAUGCGAUACCUGGUGUGAAUUGCAGAAUCCCGCGAACCAUCGAGUUUUUGAACGCAAGUUGCGCCCGAGACCUUCUGGUCGAGGGCACGUCUGCCUGGGCGUCACG